This is a long non-coding RNA of Homo sapiens (human), 1284 nucleotides long. Ensembl annotates it as long intergenic non-protein coding RNA 1517. NCBI's taxonomy places the organism in Eukaryota, Metazoa, Chordata, Mammalia, Primates, Hominidae. The record is from Ensembl.
GGAGUCCAGAGUCCUCGAAGGGAAAUCUGACACAAAGAAGCAGGUGUGAGACCGGCCCCUUUCUCCCAUGCCUUAGACAGGGCUCCAGGGACUGCUUCAGGGGAGAUGUCAGAGGGCAGCAGGGACCGGGAAGGGAGGAAGAAAGCAGAGUGACAGUGAGAGGUGGGAAAACUACAAGAGGAAUUGUUUGUACGCUUGGAUCUGGACUUUUAGAACUGGUCAGGACCUGACAGAUCCUCCAGCCCAGUUCUCCCGGCUCUCAAACACUGGCAUCAUUUAUAAUUCCCUGGAAAAUCACCAGCAGGUAAAUGAAGGAGAAAAGAAAAGAACAAAAUCCACCGGGAACCAGAGACUUCCAGGCUCCAAAGACAGGCAAUCUCCACCAGGAAUAUAGACAGGAUUUCCACAUGUCGCCCAGGCUGAUCUCAGACUCCUGACCUGGAUCUUCCCACCUCAGCCACUGAACGUGCUGGGAUUACAGAGAUGGGCCUCUUUCUGUCGCCCAGGCUGGAGUGCAAUGGUGUGAUCAUAGCUCACUGCAGCCUCAACCUCCUGAGCUCAAAUAGUCCUCCUGCCUCAGCUUCCUGAGUUGCGACUACAGCCAUGAACCACUGCAUCCAGUUCAGGUAAGCCUAGAAUUGUACGAUUGGAACUCAAUGACGGGUCUCACUCUGUUGACCAGGGUGAGGAGUGUAGUGGCAUGAUCAUAGUUCACUGCAACCUCUGCCUCCCUCCCAGACUCAAGCAAUCCUCUGGCCUCAGCCUCACCAAGUAGCUAGGACUACAGAUUCAUGACUUCAAUUGAGAGAUGAGUUUCAAGCCACCUUUCAAGGAAUCCUGGGUAGAAUGAAAUCUGUUCCAUGGAAUCUUAAGAAGAAGAAGAAAAAAAAUCAAGAUCCCUGUGGGCAAAGUCAUUUGCUGUCAUGCUUGGAAGGAGUAGAACCAAGUGUUUAUGAGCAUGGACUUUGGAGUCAGGAUACUCUCCUGAUAUACCACGAUGCAGAAUGUCAAGUAGGAAAAGAAGCUGUUGCAUUGGGCAAUUAAGAAGUCAUUGGUGAGAGAAGUUUCAGUCUGAAGUGGAAUCAUAGUAAAUUACAGAAAAAUAGUCUUUGGAGAGAGAAGGAAUCUGGUUAAUCCACAGGCCACACAAUCAUGGUUGAAAAUUAGUGAAUGAGCGAAUGAUGGAUCCAUCUCUUGAAGCAAUACUUGAAUCGCAGAAUUCUUAUAUUGAUAGAAGCAGAAGGAAACCAGAAGUGCUCCAAUUAAAGGCCUCCAUUUUUCAGA